GAAAGUAAACAAGGGCGCAUGGAGGAUGCCUAGGCUCUCGGAGGCGAAGAAGGACGUGAUAAGCUGCGAAAAGUUACGGUAAGGCGCAAAUAGCCCUAGACCCGUAAAUAUCCGAAUGGGGCAACCCAGCCAGCAAUGGUCAUACCGCCAGGCGGUAAGCCAACGCGGGGAACUGAAACAUCUUAGUACCUGCAGGAAAAGAAAAUAACAAUGAUUCCCCCAGUAGUGGCGAGCGAACGCGGAACAGCCCAAACCACCCGUGUUACGGCACGAGUGGGGUAGAAGGAUCCACGAUACGGCAAGAAAUAAGUUAGCAGAAUACGAUGGAAAUCGUAGCCAAAGACGGUGACAGCCCGGUACGCGAAAACCGACAGAAGCCCAGUGGACACCUGAGUAACCCAGGACACGAGAAAUCCGGGGCGAAUCAGCGGGGCCCAUCCCGUAAGGCUAAAUACUCCCGAGAGACCGAUAGCGAACCAGUACUGUGAAGGAAAGGUGAAAAGAACCUCGAACAGAGGAGUGAAAGAGACCCUGAAACCAUGCGCCUACAAGCGGUCGGAGCAUGUUAAAAUGUGACGGCGUGCCUUUUGCAUAAUGAACCUACGAGUUACUCUCGCUGGCAAGGUUAAGCGAUUCAGUCGCGCAGCCGAAGCGAAAGCAAGUCCGAACAAGGCGUACAGUCAGCGGGAGUAGACGCGAAACCAAGUGAUCUACCCUUGGUCAGGUUGAAGGUUGGGUAACACCAACUGGAGGACCGCACCGAUAAGCGUUGAAAAGCUUACGGAUGAACUGAGGGUAGGAGUGAAAGGCCAAUCAAACUUGGAGAUAGCUCGUACUCCCCGAAAUGCAUUUAGGUGCAGCCUCGAAGUAAAGUGAUAGAGGUAGAGCGACUGAUAAGAUGCGAGGGCUUCACCGCCUAUCAAGUCUUGACAAACUCCGAAUACUAUCACUUGAUCUUCGGGAGUGAGGGCAUGGGUGCUAAGGUCCAUGUCCGAAAGAGGAACAACUCAGACCACCAGCUAAGGUCCCGAAAUAAGGGCUAAGUUGAAUAAACGAAGUAAAACUGCAAAGACAGCUAGGAUGUUGGCUUGGAAGCAGCCAUUCAUUUAAAGAGUGCGUAACAGCUCACUAGUCGAGGAGUUUUGCAUGGAUAAUAAUCGGGCAUAAGCCCUUUACCGAAGCUGUGGAUGUCGUAAGACAUGGUAGGGGAGCAUUCCGGCGGCGACGAAGGCCGUCCUCGAGGACGACUGGAGCUUUCGGAAAAGCAAAUGUAGGUAUAAGUAACGAUAAAGGGGGCGUGAAACCCCCUCGCCAUAAGACUAAGGAUUCCUGAUCAACGCUAAUCGGAUCAGGGUAAGUCGGGCCCUAAGGCGCAGCCGAACGGCGUAGCCGAUGGAAGAAACGGUAAAGAUUCCGUUACUGGAUAUAGGAGCGAUGUGGAGACGGAGAAGUGACACACCCGCCUGCCGACGGAAGCGCAGGUUAAAGGAAGUAGGUAAACGCCGGGUAGGCAAAUCCGCCUGGCGUGCCGAAGCUGACAGUAUCGAGAGCCCCCGGGCAAUCGAAUAGCGGUGGUAAUCAGGCUCCCAAGAAAAUCCGCUAAGCAUAUUCUAUAUUCACCCGUACCCCAAACGGACACACGUAGUCGGGUAGAAUAUACCAAGGCGCUCGAAAGACUCACGGUUAAGGAACUAGGCAAAUUGACCCUGUAACCUCGGGAAAAAGGGUCCCCAGUAAGAUGGGGCGCAGAGAAUAGGUCCAGGCAACUGUUUAACAAAAACACAGGGCUGUGCGAAAUUUCAAGAUGAAGUAUACAGCCUGACACCUGCCCGGUGCCGGAAGGUUAAGAGGAGAGCUAAUCGCAAGAGAAGGCUUGAAUUGAAGCCCCGGUAAACGGCGGCCGUAACUAUAACGGUCCUAAGGUAGCUAAAUUCCUUGUCGGGUAAGUUCCGACCUGC
This 1958-nucleotide ribosomal RNA is filed under the name human gut metagenome. Its description in RNAcentral is "bacterial LSU rRNA". It matches the Rfam family "Bacterial large subunit ribosomal RNA", at positions 1 to 1991 of the family's 2925-position model. The record is from RNAcentral.